This 467-nucleotide ribosomal RNA is filed under the name uncultured bacterium. RNAcentral's name for it is "partial 16S ribosomal RNA". It matches the Rfam family "Bacterial small subunit ribosomal RNA", at positions 29 to 507 of the family's 1533-position model. The record is from RNAcentral.
ACGAACGCUGGCGGCGUGCUUAACACAUGCAAGUCGAACGGAAAGGCCCUGCUUUUGUGGGGUGCUCGAGUGGCGAACGGGUGAGUAACACGUGAGUAACCUGCCCUUGACUUUGGGAUAACUUCAGGAAACUGGGGCUAAUACCGGAUAGGAGCUCCUGCUGCAUGGUGGGGGUUGGAAAGUUUCGGCGGUUGGGGAUGGACUCGCGGCUUAUCAGCUUGUUGGUGGGUUAGUGGCUUACCAAGGCUUUGACGGGUAGCCGGCCUGAGAGGGUGACCGGCCACAUUGGGACUGAGAUACGGCCCAGACUCCUACGGGAGGCAGCAGUGGGGAAUAUUGCACAAUGAGCCGAAGCCUGAUGCAGCAACGCCGCGUGCGGGAUGACGGCCUUCGGGUUGUAAACCGCUUUCGCCUGUGACGAAGCGUGAUUGACGGUAAUGGGUAAAGAAGCACCGGCUAACUACGUG